GCGACGGGGGGGAUCAGUUAUGUGACGUCGGUGGAUGAAUCGGCGGCGAACUUUCCUUUUUCCUGCCGCUGCCUGAAUUGCCGGAUCGACGGAAAAUUCUGGAAGAAUUGGCUUUCCGUCCUCCGAGAGCCAAUGGUGAUAUUGAUCUCAUUCACCUCCGUAUAUUAUUUGACAAUGGCUCAUUGUAUAUAGUGGGAUUAACUUGAUUAAAAAAAAAUAAUAAUAAUAAUAAUAAAAAGGGCUCAAACAUGGUCACAAACGGCGAACGCAUGCGCAGAAGCUAAGAUAGAGCUGUGACACCAAGUUUCAAGACUCGAGUCAGAUACGUUUCAUUCAAUAAGGGGCCGGCAAGGAGAGGAAAGAACUUGGUUCCAACGGAUCAAAAACAAACAUGAUACAGAAAAGCUGUUGAAGUUAUGGAUGGACUCCAUCAACUAGUUGGUUUAAUGUGUUGCAAAUCUUGAACUUUCAAUAGCGAUUGCCAAAACACACAUCUCCACAUAUAUCAAACGUGCUGUCGCAAAUGAAUGACGCAUGUAGGCGUCAAUCGCUCCAUGAGCGCCCUCCUGUUUCCAGCCUAUGCAAUUAUGUUUUGCAUUUUGCAUUUUGGGUUUUGGCUGAGUUC
This 625-nucleotide small RNA is filed under the name Histoplasma ohiense. RNAcentral describes it as "hypothetical lncRNA". The record is from RNAcentral. Lineage: Eukaryota; Fungi; Ascomycota; Eurotiomycetes; Onygenales; Ajellomycetaceae.